UACGUAGGGUGCGAGCGUUAAUCGGAAUACUGGGCGUAAAGAGUGCGUAGGCGGUUCGUUAUGUCUGCUGUGAAAGCCCCGGGCUUAACCCGGGAAUGGCAGUGGAAACUGGCGGGCUUGAGUGUGGCAGAGGGGGGUGGAAUUCCGCGUGUAGCAGUGAAAUGCGUAGAGAUGCGGAGGAACACCGAUGGCGAAGGCAGCCCCCUGGGCUAACACUGACGCUCAGGCACGAAAGCGUGGGGAGCAAACAGG
This 252-nucleotide ribosomal RNA is filed under the name uncultured bacterium. Its description in RNAcentral is "partial 16S ribosomal RNA". It matches the Rfam family "Bacterial small subunit ribosomal RNA", at positions 524 to 776 of the family's 1533-position model. The record is from RNAcentral.